ACCUCAUAAGAAAAAAGCUUAAAAAAGUCACCACCUGAGGUAAAAAGCUUUUAGCUGUCAAACAGCUGUUUUAUUCCUAGGCGUACAAAACGGAGAGGAUAACUCAGGAGCAGCUGCAACAUUACAUAAUGUUUUGCAAGCAGCAUCCUGAGUUACAACGGGGGAAGCUAACUCCGACCAACCCUCAAGGGCUGCAAAUACUUUGGUCGGAGCUAGCAGAUAAUUUAAAUGCCUUAAGAGGUCCAACUCGGUCGGCAGCCAAGUGGAGGGAGUCAUUGAUGCAUUGGAAACAUCAGUUGCGAUCGCGAGCGCGCCAGCUGAAGGCACAUGCGCAAGCGACUGGUGGAGGCCCUCCGAUAAAUGGAAUGAGCGAAUUCGAUGAGCAAGCAAUUUGAACUUUUGGAGCAGCAGCGGUGGAUGGAUUGCCGGGUGUUGCGACUUUGGGUCACCAGGUUUUGCCGUUGUAUUUAAAUACAGUCACAUCGCCUGCUCCAGCGCCAACACCAACAGUCGCAUCGCCUGCUCCAGCAUCCUCGCCAGCAGUCACAUCUCCUGAUCCAGCUUUUCCUGCUCUGACUUUAAAUUUUUCUUCCUCGCCAUCACCUCAUUUUUCUUCCUCACCAUCACCUCCAUCUUCUUCCUUAUCUCCUCCCAUCUUAUCUGCUCAUAUGCCAACUCCUUCUUACAUCCCUCCUGAAAAAUUGACUGCAGCGAAGAUGCUUGGGACAGUGCUAAAGAAAAUGGAGGAUCGGGAAAAGCGUGAGGAGGAGGCCAUUGCUCUACAAAGGAAAAUUGUUGAGCAAAAUGUGCAGAUGACAGGGGUGCUGACCCAGAUGACAAAAGCACUAACCUCGCUGUCAGAGGUUAUGGCAAAAUUGUCUGAAAAAUUA
Long non-coding RNA from Bactrocera tryoni, 890 nucleotides. RefSeq lists it as uncharacterized. The record is from RefSeq and is a predicted model, not a curated record. The transcript is spliced from 3 exons. Lineage: Eukaryota; Metazoa; Arthropoda; Insecta; Diptera; Tephritidae.